GACAUCAUAGCCAAGCGGUUACGGCGACAGAUUCGAAUCGACUUGAUCCCAGUAGAUCCCAGUCCAGAAUUAUCUGUUUCCCUUUGGGAGCGCAGGUUCGAAUCCUGCUGGUGUCG
Non-coding RNA from Earliella scabrosa, 116 nucleotides. The record is from the annotation of a GenBank genome assembly. Lineage: Eukaryota; Fungi; Basidiomycota; Agaricomycetes; Polyporales; Polyporaceae.